GUCGAGCGACGGAUGAAGUGCUUGCACUUCUGACGUUAGCGGCGAACGGGUGAGUAACACGUAAGGAAUCUACCUAUAAGCGGGGGAUAACAUUCGGAAACGGGUGCUAAUACCGCAUAAUAUCUUCUUCCGCAUGGAAGAAGAUUGAAAGACGGCUCUGCUGUCACUUAUAGAUGACCUUGCGGUGCAUUAGUUAGUUGGUGGGGUAACGGCCUACCAAGACGAUGAUGCAUAGCCGACCUGAGAGGGUGAUCGGCCACAUUGGGACUGAGACACGGCCCAAACUCCUACGGGAGGCAGCAGUAGGGAAUCUUCCGCAAUGGGCGAAAGCCUGACGGAGCAAUGCCGCGUGAGUGAAGAAGGCCUUCGGGUCGUAAAACUCUGUUAUAAGAGAAGAACAAAUUGUAGAGUAACUGCUACAGUCUUGACGGUAUCUUAUCAGAAAGCCACGGCUAACUACGUGCCAGCAGCCGCGGUAAUACGUAGGUGGCAAGCGUUGUCCGGAUUUAUUGGGCGUAAAGGGAGCGCAGGUGGUUUCUUAAGUCUGAUGUGAAAGCCCACGGCUUAACCGUGGAGGGUCAUUGGAAACUGGGAAACUUGAGUACAGAAGAGGAAUGUGGAACUCCAUGUGUAGCGGUGGAAUGCGUAGAUAUAUGGAAGAACACCAGUGGCGAAGGCGACAUUCUGGUCUGUUACUGACACUGAGGCUCGAAAGCGUGGGGAGCAAACAGGAUUAGAUACCCUGGUAGUCCACGCCGUAAACGAUGAGUGCUAGGUGUUGGAGGGUUUCCGCCCUUCAGUGCCGCAGUUAACGCAUUAAGCACUCCGCCU
RNAcentral lists this ribosomal RNA (831 nucleotides) under Aerococcus sp. C138-PCA-T3P21. Its description in RNAcentral is "bacterial SSU rRNA". It matches the Rfam family "Bacterial small subunit ribosomal RNA", at positions 61 to 874 of the family's 1533-position model. The record is from RNAcentral. Lineage: Bacteria; Bacillati; Bacillota; Bacilli; Lactobacillales; Aerococcaceae.